This 1451-nucleotide long non-coding RNA is filed under the name Piliocolobus tephrosceles (Ugandan red Colobus). Its description in RNAcentral is "lncRNA (ENSPTEG00000000431.1)". The record is from RNAcentral. Lineage: Eukaryota; Metazoa; Chordata; Mammalia; Primates; Cercopithecidae.
AAAUAAUGCUUAUAACAUGACAAGAAGUGAUAAAUGUCAAACUCCUGUUAAAGAGGAUGUGGUAGGGUCUGAUGAACUGGUUACUCCUAAAAUGCUUUUUGCGACUCACUUAAAAGUAGAUGAAAGGACAAAAUGUAUUUACGAAAAUUUUGAUUCUAAAAAAUAUAUACUUAGGUUUAUGGAAAAAAAAAUAAACGAAAAAAAUAAAAGUAAUAAUGAUAGUAACAGUAGCAUUAAAAAUAAAUUUGAUAUAAAAAAUGAAAUAUAUAAUGAUAAAUAUUUGGAACACACACAAAAUGUAGUGAUUGAUAAAGAUACAUUAGGAACAGUUAGUUAUAAUGAUGGGUUAAAUAAUUGUGAUAAUGAGAAAAUAAACAUGGAUAUAAGCCAUGACAUGGUGGGAAGUAAAAACGUCGGUACAGGAACAGGUAGUGGAACUGUAGAUGACAGUGCUCCUAAUGUAUUAGAUGAAAAAAAAUACAAUGAAGAGUUUAAAUUUUUAAGGAUACACCCAUUUCAUUUGAAGCGGUGGUAUAGAUUUUUAGAAAUGUACGAAAAAGAAGAGGGUUAUGAACAAUUUUUAAUUAUAUUUCCAAGAUGUACAUAUUAUUGGAUAAGAUAUGCAGAAUUAAAAAUAAAAAAAGAAAAAUAUGAAGUAGCGUAUGAACUAUAUCGUAAAUGUAUUGAUUCAAAUAUAUACGAUUUAAAUUUAUGGUUAUCUUUUUUAUAUUUUUCAUACCAUACAUCUUCAAUACAUGAGUAUAUAAGUUUUUUAUUUGAGAGUUUAAAACAUGUAGGCACAGAUAUAAAAUCAGGAAGUAUAUGGGUUGAGUUGUUACAUAUAUUAAUAAAAAUAUAUAAUACUAAUUUAUUAGUGAACAAUGACAUACAAAAUUUAUUACCUGACCCAUUUAAAAGUACAGGUAUAAAUUCAAGAAACAAAAAUGAUUGUCAUUUGAUACCAACAUUGACAGAGCAAGCUAUAUAUAAAUCACAGAUACCCAAUACUAGUAGUUUCCUUUCUAAUAAUAGCAGUAUAAAUAGUAAUAAUGUUACAUAUAUUGAAUAUUAUACACAUGAAAAUAAAUUAAAAAAGUAUUAUUUAAGUUGGAUGAAUACUGCUACGAAAUAUAUGGACAAAGCAUGGAAAUGUUUUUGUAUCUAUGAAAAAAGUAUUAGUGAUAAUUUUGUGAAUAGCUCUUUAUCAACAUACAAUAGUCAAUAUAUGAGCUGUAAAAAUGCAUAUAAGGAAUUGUGUUUAUUGUAUAAAGAGUUGAAUGAUUUUGAUAAGAAAAAACGUUAUAAUGGUAAAAAUAAUAAAAAAGGAAAUAGUUACAAAAAUGUUAUAAUAAUUCCAUUUAAUAACAAAAAAUGUAAAAUAAAAAAUUAUUUGUUAUAUAAUAAAUGGUUAAAUAUUAUAAAUUACGAAAAAACAAAUCCGUUAAAUUUGG